UUUUUUUUUUGGCUUAUAUGCUACAGAAUUUUAUUUAUAAAGUUCUGCCUCAUUUAAAAAACUUUUUUUCCACUGGGUGAUAUAAACACUUCUGGGCAUCAAUUGGUUGUCUAAUAUGAACCCCAAACUUACUACACCCAAAAUGGAAUGCAAACUCUUGAUCUAAAACAAUGCAAAAAAAAAUUUUUUUUAAUUCAUUUCCCAAAGUUCUAGGUUCCAGGGAAGAACAUAACCAUUCCAAAACCCGGCAAUCUUCUAUGACAUCUCCCUUCACGUCAUCUACCUUAGACAACUUGUCUUCAAUCUUGUUGACACAAAUUCCUACAACCUUGCAACUCUCCCAAGUCCCAUAGACUACCACCUUCUGCUACGGCUUGUGAAAAUCCUCCUGUCCAGUUGUUCUAGGCUCCCACUCUUUCCUUUCAGAUCAUUUUAGCCCUAGACUUAAAUCCUUCAGGGUCCUCCUAUUGCUGUGUGAAUAAAAACAAAAUAAUCUUUAAGUGGCCUACCAGGUCUUGCUCACUUGGCCACCCCCUCGCCUGCUGAAAUUCAACAAAAUUCACAGAGCCAUCUCAGAAGCCAAAUCUGAAUUUUUUGCCUUCCAUAGUCAGGAAGAAAGGUAGGAUCCAGAGAGCUGAAUCACAGCAAGGAGUGCUAACUGGAAAAGAAAAAAAUUAGGAAAGGCCCUCUUAAUAUAUUUUCUCUAUUCUCUGGGUGAAGGGGAGUGAGAUGGGGUAAGAGGAGAAAUAGAUCUAUUGAAAGAUGAUCCGUGUAAAUUUCUCAUGAUAGAGCAUAAAGCAAUCUACUGAGUGAGAGAAGUUAUUUGCAAAUGAAAUAUCCAAUAAGGAAAAGGAAAACAUUAUAUGGUCUCAUUCAUUUGGGGAGUAUAAAAAUUAGCGAAAGGGAAUAAAGGGAAAAGAGAGAAAAUGAGUGAAAAUAUCAUGAGAGACACCUAACUCUGGGAAAUGAACAAGGGGUAGUGGAAGGGGAAGUGGGCGGGGGGUUGGGGUGACUGGGUGAUGGGCACUGAGGGGGGCACUGGGUGGGAUAAGCACUGGGUGUUAUGUUAUGGUAUAUGUUGGCAAAUUGAACUCCAAUAUAAAUAAAUAAAUAAAUAAAUAAAUAAAUAAAUAAAUAAAUAAAUAAAAUAUCCAAUAAGGGAUUAAUAUCCAAAAUAAAGAACUUACACAACUCAACACCCAAAUAACAGUGUGAUUUAAAAAUGGACAGGAUCUGAAUAAACAUUUUUCCAAAGAAGACAUACAGAUGGCCAACAGGCAAAUCAAAAGAUGCUCAACAUCACUAACUAUUAGAUUAAUGCAAAUCAAAACUGCAAUGAGAUAUCACCUCACACCAGUUGAAACUGCUAAAAUAAAAAAAGAUAAAUCACAAGUGUUGGUGAAGAUGUGAAGAAAAGGAAACCCUUGUGCAAUGUUGGUGAUAAUGUAAACUGGUGCAACCACUAUGGAAAUCACUACCAGGUAUUUACUCAAAGAAAACAAAAAGUACUAAUUUAAAAAGAUAUGUGCAACCACAUGUUUAUUGCAGUAUUAUUUACAAUAACCAAAAUAUGGAAGCAACCUAUAUGUCCAUCAAUAGACAAAUGGAUAAAGAAGAUACAGUGAUACACACACACACACAGACACACACACACACGCACGCACUGGAAUAUUACUCAGUUACAAAAAAGAAUGGAAUCUUGCCAUUUGCAACAACAUAGAUGAACCUAGAGGAUAUCAUACUAACUGAAAUAAGUCAGACAGAGAAAGACAAAUACCAUGCUAUCACAUUUACAUGUGGAAUCUGAAAAACAAAAUGAACAAACAAAAAACGAGACUCCUAAAUACAGAGGACAAACUGGUAGUUGCCAGAGAGGCGGUGGGGAGUGGUGGGUAGAGCUGGGUAAAACAGAUAAAGGAGACUAAGACGUAUUAACUCCCAGUUAUAAAAUAAAUAAGUCACAGGGGUGAAAAGUACAGCAUAGGGAAUAGAGUCAAUACUAUUGUCAUAAUAUAUGGUGACAUAUGGUGACUAUACUUAUCAUGGUGAGCUUUACAUAAUGUAUAAAGUUGUCAAAUCACUAUGUUACACACCUGAAACUAAUAUAAUAUUUUAUGUUAAUUAUAUUUCAAAAAAAAUUUAAAAUCAUAAUAAAAGUCUCAUGAAAGAAAAUAAGCAUUUGGAUACUUUCUGACAUUUCAAGAUGAUGCACUCGGGUGGGGUUCUGAGUCCUGCUCGGUGGAGUGAUGUCUGCUCUGUGACUCAUGUAACCUCUGUCACAAUCCUCAGCCAUGCAUAAAAUAUUUUUCCUGCUUUUAAAAUACCUUCAUUUUCUAGGAUUUUGACGCAAAGUCACUGCAACCCAUUUGUAGCAAGUCAAACCUUGCUUUCAGAAUAACAUAUACUUUUACACGCUCACUCCACUGAAAUAUGGGGAAGUCAUUUUCAGGAAUUUAUUUAUUCCAAAUCUUUCAGAACCAAGUAAAGAUGUUUGUUUUUCAAAAGGUUGCUUAAUGAUCAUUCUUUUUGACAUUACAUGAUGGAAAGUCAACAAUGUGACAUUUGCCAUAAGAAAAACAGAAAGAUGGGGCUGAGAAGUACAAUAACAAGAGCUGCCACCGCAGCAGCCAGUAAGUCUGGGAUGAUUUUUCGGUGCAAUUUGUUUCUUUUAGUCUGGCAAAGGUUUUGGCUUCAGUCUCAUGUUCUUUGAUUAUUAUUAUGCCUGUCUACUAGUGGAAACUGCAAGUACUCUUUCUGUCUUUCCACCCUGGAAGAGUGGAAAGAAGAAAUGAGCCAAAUUUGCUCUGAACACGGGUUUGGAAGAAAACGAUCCCACUAUUGAGUGGAAAGAUCCAGAAGGGCUAUUUAUCUCUACAACCAUAUUCACUGGAGAGUCACUCCAUUACCGAGUCUCUGCACAUAUGCAGGGUGAAAGCUUUGAUGAGCAGUGUGUGGGGUAUGGGGCUAACUUGGAACUAAUUUGUUCAGGGUGAGCCAUAAGCUUUAUUGCUGAUAGCAUUUCCCGGAGAUGCCAAAACCUUCUCCAUUUACAGCAAAUCCACCACUAAACUGCAUCCCAGGGCACCACAGCUUCAGGUACAUGAGGUGUACAAUACCCUGCUUGACCCUGCAGUGAUCUUUGAACAACAACUGUGCGAUUAAGCAUAACUAGCUGCCACCUAAUGGCUUUUCCUUCUGCCACCCAUAUUUUGAGGUCCAAGUGAUGUACAGCUAUACUCUGUGCCCUUUAUAUAUGGUGACUACAUCCAAAUUGCAUAAUGUCAGGAUGGAUUAGACAGCAUCUUUUAAAAGAAAAUGUAAUUCUCAUGUGAAUGUUUUUAAAAUGUAGAGAAUAGGGAUAUAUCAAUUUCAAGGAAUUUUCUUCUUUAAUGGCAUAUCUUCUGGUGGUUCCUAAUGCACAAUAAAAAUAUAUAUAAUUUUGGGGGAUCCCUGGGUGGCUCAGUGGUUUAGUGCCUGCCUUUGGCCCAAGGCAUGAUCCUGGAGUCCCGGGAUCAAGUCCCACAUCGGGGCUCCCUGCAUGGAGCCUGCUUCUCCCUCUGCUUGUGUCUCUGCCUCUGUGUCUCAUGAAUAAAUAAAUAAAAUAUUUUAAAUAAAUAUAUAUAUAAUUUAUAUUUAAAUAUUUAAUGAGUUAGUCAUAGCAGAGAAAGACUCAGGAAAAAAAUGGAGUUUCAUGAAUUCCAGUAAUGAAACUUUAUAAAAUAAACAUGGGGAGUGUAUUAGUCUUCUGUGACUGCAUGACAAAUUACUAUAAACUUAGCAGCUUAAAACAAUGCAUUUGUGUUAUCUCACGGUUCUUUAGAUCAGAAGUGCACUCAGAAUGCCAGGGUUCUCCACGCAGGGUCUCAUAAGACUGAAACCAAGGUGCUCGCAGGAUGUGGGCCUGUCUGGGCUUUGAGGGCAUCUUCCACAUUCAUCCAGGCUAUGGCAGGAUUUAGUCUGCUGGAUGUAGGCCUGAGGUCCCUGUUCUUUGGCCAGCUAUCAGCUGGGGACCCUCAAAACUCCAAGAGGCCAUUCUCCAUCCCUACCAUGUGGCUCCUUCCAGCGUCAGAAGGGAAAAUCCUUCUUACAUGAGAUCCUUCUCCUGUUUCCCAUCUCUGACUUCCUCUCCCUCUGACUUCUCGACAGCUCAUGGAACCAGGUGGGGCCAAGUCCACUGUGCUGCACAACACAGCUUAAUAACAGGGGGAGAUGCCAUCCUAGUCACAGCCUCAGUGGAGGGCACUGCGCUGAGGAUCUGUGGUCCGAGGCUAGGGGCAGCUCAACUCAUUCCCCCAGCACCGUGGCUCCCCACUUUGCAUAGCUUGGGGCCACAGCCCAGGGUCUUGCUCAAGGCCCCACGGAGGCCACUGCUGUCAUCUUUCCCUUCCUCUGCCACCUCUUUUCAAGUUCUAUUUUAGCUCCUUGGAUGUUACUGUUUUUUGUGGAUCUUUUGACACCUUUAAUUGCUCUUCUCUUCCUAUGCCUAUUAAGUUUUCUCACCCUUUGAUAUUGGCAUUAGGAACAUUUUGAAUAAUUUGCCAAAUAAUGUUUUACUACUGCUGUUCCCUGUAAGUUACACUGCUCUGUCUUUAACCCUGUAUUAAUUUUGCUGUAGUGUUAGGCUGCACAGAGUGAGAUUAGGUUACAAAUAAGAUAAGAGGGCUUCUUAGACACCAUGUCUUAUUUCUCAUGGCUACUAACUCAAAGCAGAUGUGAUUUAAUAUUGCAAACUUGCUUUGAAACCCAAAAACUGAUUUUAAAAAUGAUUUCUUCUUUUGGCACCCAGCUAGCCUGUGCCUAUCCAGCUAAACUUUGAGCACCAACUCUAAGAAGGAGUUAGAACAUUUUUCUGACAUUGAAAUUCUUUCAAACUCUCCACAAAACUAAAGCAUAGAAAUAUUAUCAUCAAUAUCAGAACCAUGAUUCUUCAAAUCCUGGCACAUUUCAUUGGUGUGCUUUUGAGGUAUUCUAAAGCCUGGAUUUGUUUCUGACUCAUAUGAAUAAAUAGAGAAAUCCUUACUUUUUUCUGGUCCUCACCCACUUGGUUCCCAUAUUGGAAAAGCAAAGAAGAGUAACUCUAUGACCACAUCAACAAAGUGGACAAGAGCCACAUUUUUAUGUUUCACAAAGUCACAUUUUUCAUCACACAUUUUUCAUCACAUGUCUGUGACCUUUGAGAUCACCUAGACAGAAUUUCAUUUCUGCCUAUGAACAGCAGAAAUGGGCUGUUUCUGUGGAUUCUCAAAUAACACCGGCUGCUCCAGCACUUAGCUUUCCUUCUCUUUGUCAUCUGUCCUCUUCCUGCCCACCCCACUUAAUUUCUGCAAAAUGUGAUCCACGCUUUUUAUGACACACUCUGGAGCUCUCUCUAUCAGGAAGAAGGAUGCUAUUUGUUCGCCACUUUGUUCUGAAACACAACUUAAAAAUGCAUCUCCUGUUGUCACUGAAUUCGUCUUAAUUGUAAGGUGAAAAGAGACAAAGAAGGCAGUGUCCUAGAGGGAACCUUGAAAACAAUGAGAAGGUAAGUUCUGAGAAAC
Molecule: long non-coding RNA, 5537 nt
Filed under: Canis lupus familiaris (dog)
Lineage: Eukaryota; Metazoa; Chordata; Mammalia; Carnivora; Canidae
Description: lncRNA (ENSCAFG00845029451.1)
Source: RNAcentral